This is a long non-coding RNA of Branchiostoma belcheri (Belcher's lancelet), 398 nucleotides long. RefSeq lists it as uncharacterized. The record is from RefSeq and is a predicted model, not a curated record. Lineage: Eukaryota; Metazoa; Chordata; Leptocardii; Amphioxiformes; Branchiostomatidae. The transcript has 3 exons.
GAUGGGAACAAAGAUGGCGGGAAAUUUGCCCAAUAUUUUUGUUCGAACUCGAUCAACAGCGAUUCAGACCCUUUAGUACGCUUGAUGUAGAGUUGUAUAGGAAGGAAACACUUGAGUUGUGAAGUCACCAAUUGCUGAAGUACAAAAAGUAACCAGACACAGAUGGGGUCAUAUGAGGACAGUUAUGAGUUGGAGGGGUCGAUGACUCCGCCCCUGUCUCCAUGUGAACCGAUGAUGAUUGACAGCUAUGACCACCAUCCCCCUACAAGUACAGACUUCACACAGGAGGCAGACAGUGGCUGUUCCCUGCAGCUGACUUGCUUUAAGUGCCAUGGAGAAGUCACUACAGAAGGAAGCCUGCCUCCUCACAGGAACACUUACAUCUGGUCAGGUGUGCU